GACGAACGCUGGCGGCGUGCUUAACACAUGCAAGUCGAACGAAGUGGCGAACGGGUGUGUAACGCGUAAUCAACCUGCCCUUCAGAGGGGGACAACAGUUGGAAACGACUGCUAAUACCUCAUACUUAAGCAGGGGUUUGCGUCUGAUUAGCUAGUUGGGGGGGAAACGGCCCACCAUGGCGAUGAUCAGUAGGCGGUCUGAGAGGAUGAACGGGCAAAUUGGUACGGGGACAGGGCCCAGACUCCUACGGGAGGGAGCAGGGGGGAAUCAUCCGCAAUGGAAGAAAGUCUGACGGAGCAAGGCCGCGUGAGUGAUGACGGCCUUCGGGUUGUAAAGCUAUGUUAAUCGGGACGCGGUACCGGAAUAGAAAGCCACGGCUAACUACGUGCCAGCCGCCGCGGUAAUAC
This 408-nucleotide ribosomal RNA is filed under the name uncultured bacterium. RNAcentral describes it as "partial 16S ribosomal RNA". It matches the Rfam family "Bacterial small subunit ribosomal RNA", at positions 28 to 526 of the family's 1533-position model. The record is from RNAcentral.